RNAcentral lists this ribosomal RNA (482 nucleotides) under uncultured bacterium. RNAcentral describes it as "partial 16S ribosomal RNA". It matches the Rfam family "Bacterial small subunit ribosomal RNA", at positions 30 to 507 of the family's 1533-position model. The record is from RNAcentral.
AUUGAACGCUGGCGGCAUGCCUUACACAUGCAAGUCGAACGGUAACAGGUCUUCGGACGCUGACGAGUGGCGAACGGGUGAGUAAUGCAUCGGAACGUGCCCAGUCGUGGGGGAUAACUGCUCGAAAGAGCAGCUAAUACCGCAUACGACCUGAGGGUGAAAGCGGGGGACCGUAAGGCCUCGCGCGAUUGGAGCGGCCGAUGUCAGAUUAGCUAGUUGGUGGGGUAAAGGCCUACCAAGGCAACGAUCUGUAGUUGGUCUGAGAGGACGACCAGCCACACUGGGACUGAGACACGGCCCAGACUCCUACGGGAGGCAGCAGUGGGGAAUUUUGGACAAUGGGCGCAAGCCUGAUCCAGCAAUGCCGCGUGCAUGAAGAAGGCCUUCGGGUUGUAAACUGCUUUUGUCAGGGAAGAAAUCUUCUGGGCUAAUACCCCGGGAGGAUGACGGUACCUGAAGAAUAAGCACCGGCUAACUACGUG